RNAcentral lists this ribosomal RNA (425 nucleotides) under uncultured bacterium. Its description in RNAcentral is "bacterial SSU rRNA". It matches the Rfam family "Bacterial small subunit ribosomal RNA", at positions 958 to 1397 of the family's 1533-position model. The record is from RNAcentral.
AACGCGAAGAACCUUACCAAGGUUUGACAUCCUGCGAAGGUCUCCGAAAGGAGACUGUGCCUUCGGGAACGCAGUGACAGGUGAUGCAUGGCCGUCGUCAGCUCGUGUCGUGAGAUGUUUGGUUAAGUCCAUUAACGAGCGCAACCCUUAUAGUUAGUUGCUUUUUCUAGCUAGACUGCCCUGGUAACAGGGAGGAAGGAGGGGAUGAUGUCAGGUCCGUAUCUCCCUUACACCUUGGGCUACAAACACGCUACAAUGGCCGGUACAAAGGGCUGCCAAGUCGCGAGACGGAGCAAAUCCCAUCAAAGCCGGUCUCAGUUCGGAUUGCAGGCUGAAACUCGCCUGCAUGAAGCUGGAAUCGCUAGUAACGGUAGGUCAGCAUUACUACCGUGAAUACGUUCCCGGGCCUUGUACACACCGACAUA